AUUGAACGCUGGCGGCAGGCCUAACACAUGCAAGUCGAACGGUAACAGGAAGCAGCUUGCUGCUUUGCUGACGAGUGGCGGACGGGUGAGUAAUGUCUGGGAAACUGCCUGAUGGAGGGGGGUAACUACUGGAAACGGUAGCUAAUACCGCAUAACGUCGCAAGACCAAAGAGGGGGACCUUCGGGCCUCUUGCCAUCAGAUGUGCCCAGAUGGGAUUAGCUUGUUGGUGGGGUAACGGCUCACCAAGGCGACGAUCCCUAGCUGGUCUGAGAGGAUGACCAGCCACACUGGAACUGAGACACGGUCCAGACUCCUACGGGAGGCAGCAGUGGGGAAUAUUGCACAAUGGGCGCAAGCCUGAUGCAGCCAUGCCGCGUGUAAUGAAGAAGGCCUUCGGGUUGUAAAGUACUUUCAGCGGGGAGGAAGGUGUUGUGGUUAAUAACCACAGCAAUUGACGUUACCCGCAGAAGAAGCACCGGCUAACUCCGUGCCAGCCGCAGC
RNAcentral lists this ribosomal RNA (502 nucleotides) under uncultured bacterium. RNAcentral's name for it is "bacterial SSU rRNA". It matches the Rfam family "Bacterial small subunit ribosomal RNA", at positions 30 to 518 of the family's 1533-position model. The record is from RNAcentral.